AGAGGCGCCGGGACAGCCUCGAGGGGCCCUGGAAUUGGCUCGUGUUCCACCGGCCAGUGCCGCCCCUGAUCCAGAACGGGCCCCACCGCCCGUUUGGCCUCGCUGGCCCAGGAGCUGUUCCCGUGCCGGGCUGAGCUGCUCCAGGGGGGGCUGGGGGGGCCCAACCGGGGCCGGGUCCUG
Serinus canaria (Common canary) is the source of this 180-nucleotide long non-coding RNA. RefSeq lists it as uncharacterized. The transcript has 3 exons. NCBI's taxonomy places the organism in Eukaryota, Metazoa, Chordata, Aves, Passeriformes, Fringillidae. The record is from RefSeq and is a predicted model, not a curated record.